UAAGAUGCUAGAGAAACAACAAGGAUAGAAGCAAAAGAAGUGAAAUAUGAAGUAAUUAGAAGAGAAGUAUGGCUGAAGAUAUUUUUGAUAUGUCGUUAGUGCUGUGAUAAGUUUUCAGCCUCAUCGUCACCUUGGAUAGAUAUGGAACUGAGUUAAGAGCUGUGAUGACAUUUUAUGAUAAGUUGUCAAGAAGCUGAUAGGUUAUCAAAAUUGCCAUCAGCCUAAAGCAGAAC
RNAcentral lists this long non-coding RNA (233 nucleotides) under Capsicum annuum. Its description in RNAcentral is "long non-coding RNA (CANN_LNC017378)". The record is from RNAcentral. Lineage: Eukaryota; Viridiplantae; Streptophyta; Magnoliopsida; Solanales; Solanaceae.